AAAAAAAAAAAAAAACCCUGAUUCUGGAAAAUAAAAAAAAAUAAUACCCUAGUUGUUGUGAUCUAUCAAUCAAAGGUAAGAUUAGAUUGAUUCUCUUCAAUUUUCUCUUUUCUUAAUGGUUUUUAUGCAUGGAGGAGACCUUUUCUGAUAUGUAUUGAUUUGAUUUGCGAAGAUGCCAUGGGAACUUCAAGUGGGCCGAAACUCUCAGGAAUGCAGAAGCAAGUGCUUAGUCUCUACCGAGGGUUUCUGCGUGCUGCUCGUUUGAAAUCCCCUGAGGAUCGCCGCCAGAUUGAAUCCAUUGUAUCGGCUGAGUUCCGCCGCAAUUCCCAGCAAGUAGAUCGCAAGAAUUUCCUCUACAUCGAGUAUUUGCUUCGUCGGGGUAAGAAACAGCUUGAUCAGCUCAAGAGUCCUGAUACUGUUGGAAUGUCGUCUCUAUAUCUCAAUUUGCAUCAACCCCCAAAUCAUAAGCCUUGAAUUUUUCAAUUUGGGGUUAGUUUUUGCUAACUUCUUGGUGAUUCUUUGUGGGAAUUAAACUAAUUGUAAUCUGCUGAUUAUUCAAAAAUUGAGACACGUUUGCUCAUUGCCUCCAUUAAUUCUUGAAAGGUGGCUGGCUUGGAAGUUCGAACUCAGAAACCCAUUUUGAAUGUGUGGGACUGAAAUUUUUGUAAUUUCAAGCCAAAUCAAAUCCAUGAAAUUAAACUAAUUGUAAUCUCCUGGUUAUUCAAGAAUUGGGACGCGUUUGCUUAUUGCCUCCAUUGAUUCUUGAAAGGUGGCUGGCUUUGAUUCUUGAACUCGGGAACUCAUUUUGAAUGUGUGGGACUGCAAUUUUUGUAAUUUCAAGCCAAAUCAAAUCCAUGAAAUUAAACUAAUUGUAAUCUCCUGGUUAUUCAAGAAUUGGGACGCGUUUGCUUAUUGCCUCCAUUGAUUCUUGAAAGGUGGCUGGCUUUGAUUCUUGAACUCGGGAACUCAUUUUGAAUGUGUGGGACUGC
RNAcentral lists this unclassified non-coding RNA (989 nucleotides) under Hevea brasiliensis (rubber tree). Lineage: Eukaryota; Viridiplantae; Streptophyta; Magnoliopsida; Malpighiales; Euphorbiaceae. The record is from RNAcentral.